Long non-coding RNA from Seriola aureovittata, 3783 nucleotides. RefSeq lists it as uncharacterized. The record is from RefSeq and is a predicted model, not a curated record. The transcript has 10 exons. NCBI's taxonomy places the organism in Eukaryota, Metazoa, Chordata, Actinopteri, Carangiformes, Carangidae.
GUCAAGAGGAAGUUAAUUAUUUAAAUUUUUGUUUCCCAAAAUAGUUUGUAAUCCACCUACACUCAACAAAAUACAAUUAAACAGUCCCUUCUGCUACAGUCCCAGCUGAAACAAAUACUUACAUCCAAAAUUAGAAUAAAGGGACAUUGUGCAGCUCAUCCUGAGAACAUCCUCAUGUCUGUCUUUGUGUUUGCAUGUCCGUCUGUUGUAUUGUGCUGCCUGUGGUGUGUGUAGCUAAAACAGAUUUACUUAAGCUACUCAGCUGAAUAUAAACCGGUUUCUUAUCCAGCAAACCACCUCGUGUGUGUGUGUGUGAGUUGCAGACAGAGUGCAUCUCAAUCAGCUCCUCUCCAUUCACAGAACUUGAAGUAAUUCUCGUCUAAUUGCACCUUCCUUUCAUUCGUCACUACUAUCUUUAAUAAAACAUAAAAAUGCAGGUUUGGGUGACACUAAUAAAGGCGGAUGAAUACUACCUUUCAUCUGGUCGGUAAGUAGGAGGUCAUUAGGAGGAAAGAGAGCGGCUGAGAUGCGGCGUCUGCAUCUAUCUAAAGACAAAAACUCAUUACGCCCUCCACCUCGUAACCCUCUGUCUGGUUGUCAUGGAAGCAACAAGGAUGGGGAGCAAGGAUCUAGUCGGGACUGUAAAUGAGAAUCUACCCUUUUCUCCACUCCUUUCCUUUCCUCCGAAACCUGUUGAUGGUUUCACGUUCUUUUACUACAUUUGGACAAUUUGAUGAUGCUUCGUUUCUCUCUUUAUUUGCGUAAGAUUUUUCAGUUUCUACCCCCCCACCCCCCACCCCUCUGGCAAAAUCCUCCUCUCCUGCCUCACAGUCUGUCCCGGAGACAAGGUAGUGAAGGACCUUUGGGGUUGCAAGGUUUCCAGUACUCAAAUAAAUCCCACAGGUGCGACUGGCACAUGUAGCCCGGCCAUCACAGGUUUUUCUAAAAUAAAAGCACAGCCCCUUGGCAGAUGUGAAUUAUUAACCAGUGCAGUUUGCUCUGUAAAUGGUCUGCACUGUGUAUGUGUGUGAUGCAUGAGCCGCUCUCUGUGUGCAACUUGAGAGAGCAAGUGCAUCAGCAGCUUAACAGCGACCAGCUCUAAACUAGCAGAUGAUACAUUUUCCUUUCACCUCUCAUCAUUUAAGCACAGGUGGAGCCAGAUGUGUUUUUUUUAAGGCGCUCACAUGAUGACAUAAAUUCACACAUCGAUCAGUCCUGACUCCUUAGAGGAGAUGCUGCUGAUGAAACGGAUGCUGGCCAUUGUUAUUAACCAACCAAGCUAUGGUGUAAUGUACUUUUUAGCAGUACAUUACUACGAUAUGGUUAAAGUUUACAAAACAAAACUUCUUAAACUUCUUCUCCUCUUCUUCUGAUUUAACAAAGUUUCCAGCAACAUAUGAAAAUAUAUCAACAUCUAUACAAUGUGAAAAUAUUAUCUGGGAACAAAUCUGGGUCAUAGAAUGAAGGAAAUUGUGUGUGAUUACAAUCUGUGUGUAUUCCAGAAAAUUAAAGCAUUUUUCAUGUUUGAUUUCAGCUCUUUCACCCAGGCCUGAUGUGAAGCUCUCUGUUCUCUGGUGUCCAGUGGGACUGCGGUGCAAGCCUGGAGAGUUGGCUGUCAGAGAGGAAAAGGCCACCCAUCAUGAUGACUUAGAUGUGAAAACUAUUUACAGAGCUGAGCUGCCCUAUAUCUCUGCCCAAGUAGCUGUCAGCUCUUUUUUACUCAUCUGUGCUGCUGUGACCUGAAAGCCACCCAGCCCCGUCGUCUACUCGCUUUUCUCAUUUUGAACUCCCUAUCUCUCCCUUCCUGCCACCGAGGGAAACAAAAUACUGUUGCUAUGGAAACUGCUCACAGAGAGCAGAGAGAAGCAGCUUAUGAGACUUUCAGUGUGGAGACAGAAGCCUAUAUAUGGCCAUUUCCUGUCUGCGGGCUGGGAGGUGGGUUCAACCUUCUAUGAACAUUGUGUCUCUUUUUCCUGUGCGAAAAACUAUAUGAGACAGAUGGAGUGACGAGAAAGAGGGAGAAAGAGACAGACAGAACGGGAGACGGAGAGAUGCUAAUGGAGUAAACAGAGAGGGGAAGAGCUGCGACCUCGCCGGCCCAUUCGAUUAAUCCGGCGGCAUCUACACUUCACAUCUCCUCUGUGCGGCUCCUUCGGUCCAGAUUAUUAGAUGUGAUAAAGAAUUUUUAUUAACGCCUGUGUUGGCUGGAGGAAAAAUGAAUGUGGGACUUCGAGGCCGUGCUCAGAACACCUGAAGACCUGCACCUUGAUGUCAGGAAUCUGUGCAGACUCCACAAGGUUUAAGACCAGAGGACAUCAGCAAAAAUAGUGCUCGAUAAACAUCAGCAGUCCCACAUGUUCCAGAUGAGGCGGGGAACUGGGGAACAGCAAGUGACCAACCAUCCUAGAUUCACUUGUUGAAUCUACACUUCAAGAUUGAGUCAUUGAGAGGAAAAGGAGACAAGAAGAAGAAGAAGGAAAGAAGGAAACUUAUUUCACUGUCUUACCAGAAGCAGGGGACUUGCUGCGCCGUGAUUGGAUGACGGUCCUCGGGGAGCCUCGGCUCAGAGAGCCAGACAUCUUCCCAUAGUUCACCGACUUCAUCGUACGACACUCUGCGAGCACAAACACAAAACAGACAGAGACAAGAUGGCGAGCCAAACCCGCGGACUACGUUCCCAAAGAUAAGGAUCCAUCCUGGCGCCAGUGAGAGGACACACUGCCUGCGUUUAGGACUAUGGUCGAACUUGGUGCCACAGCGAGUCGGACUGACCACAUCCUCAGGCCUGGACUGCUGCUGCUGGACUCAACCAAGAGGAUGUUGCUGGAUUGAGGCUCUUUGAGGCUGCUCAUCCCAAGAUAGAAACUAUAGCACACCAGAAAUGUCAGGUCUGCCUGAGGACUCAUCUGUCAGGACCUGCCUCUUUAGUGGGACUUUCUCACAGCCACUCAGAGGUCUGAAGUUUGUUUGCAUGUGGCAGCAGGAAAUAGUCUCUCUGAGCGAUGGAGGAGAUAAAGACCACUGACCUACAUCCUGGCCCCCGGAGACCACCUAAUUCCACUCCAUCACCACUCCCUGAUGAACCAUCGGAGGGAGUGCGUGUUACCCAGCAUUUAUCUGUGCCAGUGGUGGUGAAAGUUUCAGCUCCAGUCUGGUGGAACACAGUCCUUCUCUCACUGUAUUUGCAGUGGUUUAACACGUGAAAGACACUUCUUUACAUGCUGAACACAUCACAGCUUUUCGUUUCACUUUAUUUGCAGUUAUGUAAUGUUUGUGACGUGUUUAAUGCUUGUUUUUAAAAGGUCACAUAUCAUCUAAUUCGUCUAAUCCAAAAACCAAACUAUACCAGACAUUUUUAAUGGACAAACACAGUAUGUGAUUGCAUCUUUUAUUACUGCUUCCGUGAGCAGACCUGCUUGCGUGAACAUGCAUACGAAUGCAUCCAAGUGUGUGACAGUGACAGAAAAAGACUUUGCUUUUCCCCACACACACAAACACACACACACACACACACACACACACACACACACACACACACAGGGACCCAGUGUGCGUCACAAACUGGGGGCUGAGAAAGUGUCCCUGUCUAAAUUAAUCCUGGGGAAUCAGGGCACAUGUGGGGGAGACUGUCUUUAGACCAGUGCAAGACAGAUGGAGGACAAGGACAGGACACAGUCAAGGCCGUGGUCUCAUUUCCAAAGGAAUUUGCAAGUCGACGCUGAUAUCUGUGUCCUCAUGUAUUCAAGUAACAAGCGAACACAUAAAAAUGAGAAAUGGAUUUUA